CGCGUGGUGAAUAGCUCGGCUCGAGUGCCGACGAAGGACGUGCCAAGCUGCGAUAAGCCUCGGGAACCCGCAUGGAGGGGUCGAACCGAGGAUCUCCGAAUGGGAAUCCCUACAACAAUUGCUUCGCGCAAUAGGGAACGUCCAGAACUGAAACAUCUCAGUAUGGGCAGGAAAAGAAACCGUAAGGGAUGUCGUUAGUAACGGCGAGUGAACGCGACAUAGUCCAAACCGAAGCCUUCGGGCAAUGUGGUGUACGGGCUGGUCAACAACAACGGAGCUUCCGCGAGAAGUCUUCUGGAAUGGAGCGUGAUACAGGGUGACAACCCCGUAUCGCAGAAGCACCGUUGGGGACCAGAUCCCUGAGUAGCGGGGGUCGGAAAUCCCUCGCCAAUGUGGCAGGCAUCUACUGCCAAGACUAAAUACAACUCGAGACCGAUAGUGGACAAGUAGCGUGAGUGAACGCUGAAAAGCACCCUGAGAAAGGAGGUGCAAUAGGGCUUGAAAUCACGCGGUGAUAGAGCGAUGGGGCGUAGAAGGCCGAUCGAAAAACGACCUGGGGGCGACCCCACUGUAGGAAUCGAUCGGAGCCGACGUCUUAUCGUGCGUUUUGAAAAACGAGCCAGGGAGUGUACCUAUGUGGCGAGUCUAACCCGAUUAUCGGGGGAGACGCAGGGAAACCAACAAGGCCGCAGCAUUGCAAGGGCCGCCGUGUUCAAGCGCGGGGAGUCAUAUGGGUACGACCCGAAUCCGAGCGAUCUACGCGUAGGCAAGGUGAAGCAUGGCGAAAGCUAUGUGGAAGCCUGUUAGGGGUGGUGUCCUACAAUACCCUCCCGUGAUCUACGUGUAGGGGUGAAAGGCCCAUCGAGCUCGGUAACAGCUGGUUCCAAUCGAAACAUGUCGAAGCAUGACCUCUGCUAAGGUAGUUUGUCGGGUAGAGCGACCGAUUGGGGUGUCUGCCUCCGAGAGGAGUCAGUGCCCCUGUCAAACUCCAAACCGACAGACGCCGUGGAUGCAGGGAGUCCGGUGUGCGGGGUAAGCCUGUGCACCAUGAGGGAGACAACCCAGAGCUGGGUUAAGGUCCCCAAGUGUGGAUUAAGUGCGAUUUGAAGGUGGUCUCGAGCCCUAGACAGCCGGGAGGUGAGCUUAGAAGCAGCUACCCUCCAAGAAAAGCGUAACAGCUUACCGGCCGAGGUUCGAGGCGCCCAAAAUGAUCGGGGCUCAAAUCCACCACCGAGACC
This 1238-nucleotide ribosomal RNA is filed under the name Streptomyces sp. PKU-EA00015. RNAcentral describes it as "partial 23S ribosomal RNA". It matches the Rfam family "Archaeal large subunit ribosomal RNA", at positions 19 to 1286 of the family's 2987-position model. The record is from RNAcentral. Lineage: Bacteria; Bacillati; Actinomycetota; Actinomycetes; Kitasatosporales; Streptomycetaceae.